RNAcentral lists this long non-coding RNA (905 nucleotides) under Brassica rapa (field mustard). RNAcentral's name for it is "long non-coding RNA (BRAP_LNC006368)". Lineage: Eukaryota; Viridiplantae; Streptophyta; Magnoliopsida; Brassicales; Brassicaceae. The record is from RNAcentral.
AUUUAUUUCAUAUUAUGUCUUUUAAAAAUGUUACCUUUGACAUGCAUGUACGUAAACCUUGUCUUUACGUCAUACUUGGAAUGCAGUCGUAUUUAGUUGUAAAAGAGUCAUGAUUCGUCUUGUUUCGUUGCACUUAUAACAUGCCGCGACCAAAGAAAGUCGUUCUCAACAUUUGUUUUUCACUAUCAUUGUUUUAUCAAACAGUUUUUAAUGCAAUAUUAUCGACUUCUUUAAAAAAUAUUAUCCACUUUCAUAUCAUCAGUCUGUCAACAUUAAAUUCACAUAUACAGUUUCUUUUUGUCAACUGAAAAUUUUAUUAAACGGGUCAAAGCCCAACAAAAGACUCAGCCCAACAGAAAGAUAAAACAGAAGCUUAAACAACGGUCUGCAUAUACAAAACUCCAUGGGCCUUCAUCCCAACAGAAAAAAAUGUAUAAAAAGGUAAGCGACACUUUCCCCCACGUGAGCGACAAACGACUCUAAAACAUGCAUCAAGACGAAGCACCACUACCUCCACCAGAAAGAGUCACGUCGUAGAUCCACCGACAGCGGAGAAGAAUCAGUGAAAGACCAACAUAGUAGUCUUCACGGAAGGCCAAGACGCAACCAGACCACCGCUUCGGAAAAAACCAUCGUUUUCAAUCGAUCUAAGAGAACUCUGUUCUUCCUGCAUGAACGAACAGCCAUCUUUGAUGAUGAAAAUAAGCUUGAAGAUGAGACGACCUAGUUACAGGGAGAUAAAGGCUUCGGAGGAUCAGAUCGAGAGUCGAUGGAACAAAGAAAGGGCAGAAGCGAUGAUCAAACGGAACCGAGAAAACCCCCGGUGAGGAGCCGGCGAAGAGGAAAUAACGGGAACACCUCUUCCCGAAGAUAAUAGAUGGAGAAAAUAACAUUGAGAGAACUGC